CGGGGGACAACAGUCCGAAAGGAUUGCUAAUACCGCAUACGUCAGCGAGGUCCUUGGACCACGUUGGGAAAGAUGGCCUCUUCAUGAAAGCUAUCACCGGAGGAUGAGUCCGCGGCCCAUCAGCUAGUUGGCGGUGUAAGAGACCACCAAGGCUAAGACGGGUAGCUGGUCUGAGAGGAUGAUCAGCCACACUGGAACUGAGACACGGUCCAG
Molecule: ribosomal RNA, 213 nt
Filed under: uncultured bacterium
Lineage: Bacteria
Description: partial 16S ribosomal RNA
Rfam family: Bacterial small subunit ribosomal RNA
Source: RNAcentral